GCUUGUCUCAAAGAUUAAGCCAUGCAUGUCUAAGUGUAAAUACGUCUACACUGUGAAACUGCGAAUGGCUCAUUAAAUCAGUUAUCGUUUAUUUGAUGAUCUCUUGUUACAUGGAUAACCGUAGUAAUUCUAGAGCUAAUACAUGCGUCAAGCCCCGACUCACGAAGGGGUGUAUUUAUUAGAUUCAAAGCCAACCGCGCAAGCGUACCUUGGUGAUUCAUAAUAACUUGUCGAACCGCACGCCCUUGAGGCAGCGGUGAUUCAUUCAAAUUUCUGCCCUAUCAACUUUCGAUGGUACGGUAUUGGCCUACCAUGGUUACCACGGGUAACGGGGAAUUAGGGUUCGGUUCCGGAGAGGGGGCCUGAGAAAUGGCCACCACAUCCAAGGAAGGCAGCAGG
This 399-nucleotide ribosomal RNA is filed under the name uncultured Cryptophyta. RNAcentral's name for it is "partial small subunit ribosomal RNA". It matches the Rfam family "Eukaryotic small subunit ribosomal RNA", at positions 30 to 432 of the family's 1831-position model. The record is from RNAcentral. Lineage: Eukaryota; Cryptophyceae.